This 575-nucleotide ribosomal RNA is filed under the name bacterium enrichment culture. Its description in RNAcentral is "bacterial SSU rRNA". It matches the Rfam family "Bacterial small subunit ribosomal RNA", at positions 23 to 595 of the family's 1533-position model. The record is from RNAcentral.
CUCAGAUUGAACGCUGGCGGCAUGCCUUACACAUGCAAGUCGAACGGUAACAGGUCUUCGGAUGCUGACGAGUGGCGAACGGGUGAGUAAUACAUCGGAACGUGCCCGAGAGUGGGGGAUAACGAAGCGAAAGCUUUGCUAAUACCGCAUACGAUCUCAGGAUGAAAGCAGGGGACCGCAAGGCCUUGCGCUCACGGAGCGGCCGAUGGCAGAUUAGGUAGUUGGUGGGAUAAAAGCUUACCAAGCCGACGAUCUGUAGCUGGUCUGAGAGGACGACCAGCCACACUGGGACUGAGACACGGCCCAGACUCCUACGGGAGGCAGCAGUGGGGAAUUUUGGACAAUGGGCGCAAGCCUGAUCCAGCCAUGCCGCGUGCAGGAUGAAGGCCUUCGGGUUGUAAACUGCUUUUGUACGGAACGAAAAGACUCUGGUUAAUACCUGGGGUCCAUGACGGUACCGUAAGAAUAAGCACCGGCUAACUACGUGCCAGCAGCCGCGGUAAUACGUAGGGUGCGAGCGUUAAUCGGAAUUACUGGGCGUAAAGCGUGCGCAGGCGGUUAUGUAAGACAGAUGU